UACGUAGGGUGCGAGCGUUGUCCGGAAUUAUUGGGCGUAAAGAGCUUGUAGGCGGUCUGUCGCGUCUGCUGUGAAAAUCCGGGGCUCAACCCCGGACUUGCAGUGGGUACGGGCAGACUAGAGUGUGGUAGGGGAGACUGGAAUUCCUGGUGUAGCGGUGAAAUGCGCAGAUAUCAGGAGGAACACCGAUGGCGAAGGCAGGUCUCUGGGACGUCACUGACACUGAGGCGCGAAAGCGUGGGGAGCGAACAGG
This 253-nucleotide ribosomal RNA is filed under the name uncultured bacterium. RNAcentral's name for it is "partial 16S ribosomal RNA". It matches the Rfam family "Bacterial small subunit ribosomal RNA", at positions 524 to 776 of the family's 1533-position model. The record is from RNAcentral.